UUAAGAAUCUUGUGCAAUGGGCGAAAGCCUGACACAGCGACGCCGCGUGCGCGAUGAAGGCCUUCGGGUUGUAAAGCGCAAUAGACAGGGACGAAGAAAGUGACGGUACCUGUUGAAAGCACCGGCUAACUACGUGCCAGCAGCCGCGGUAAUACGUAGGGACCAAGCGUUGUUCGGAUUUACUGGGCGUAAAGGGCGCGUAGGCGGCAUGACAAGUCACUUGUGAAAUCUCUGGGCUUAACCCAGAACGGCCAAGUGAUACUGUCGCGCUAGAGUGCAGAAGGGGCAAUCGGAAUUCUUGGUGUAGCGGUGAAAUGCGUAGAUAUCAAGAGGAACACCUGAGGUGAAGACGGGUUGCUGGGCUGACACUGACGCUGAGGCGCGAAAGCCAGGGGAGCAAACGGGAUUAGAUACCCAAGUAGUCCCUGAGCGGGCUGGCAAGGCGCAU
RNAcentral lists this ribosomal RNA (448 nucleotides) under uncultured bacterium. RNAcentral's name for it is "bacterial SSU rRNA". It matches the Rfam family "Bacterial small subunit ribosomal RNA", at positions 355 to 825 of the family's 1533-position model. The record is from RNAcentral.